UUGAACGCUGGCGGCAGGCCUAACACAUGCAAGUCGAGCGGAUGAAGGGAGCUUGCUCCUGGAUUCAGCGGCGGACGGGUGAGUAAUGCCUAGGAAUCUGCCUGGUAGUGGGGGAUAACGUCCGGAAACGGGCGCUAAUACCGCAUACGUCCUGAGGGAGAAAGUGGGGGAUCUUCGGACCUCACGCUAUCAGAUGAGCCUAGGUCGGAUUAGCUAGUUGGUGGGGUAAAGGCCUACCAAGGCGACGAUCCGUAACUGGUCUGAGAGGAUGAUCAGUCACACUGGAACUGAGACACGGUCCAGACUCCUACGGGAGGCAGCAGUGGGGAAUAUUGGACAAUGGGCGAAAGCCUGAUCCAGCCAUGCCGCGUGUGUGAAGAAGGUCUUCGGAUUGCAAAGCACUUUAAGUUGGGAGGAAGGGCAGUAAGUUAAUACCUUGCUGUUUUGACGUUACCAGCAGAAUAAGCACCGGCUAACUUCGUG
This 483-nucleotide ribosomal RNA is filed under the name uncultured bacterium. Its description in RNAcentral is "partial 16S ribosomal RNA". It matches the Rfam family "Bacterial small subunit ribosomal RNA", at positions 30 to 507 of the family's 1533-position model. The record is from RNAcentral.